Molecule: ribosomal RNA, 588 nt
Filed under: uncultured bacterium
Lineage: Bacteria
Description: bacterial SSU rRNA
Rfam family: Bacterial small subunit ribosomal RNA
Source: RNAcentral
CCUACGGGAGGCAGCAGUGGGGAAUUUUGCGCAAUGGGGGAAACCCUGACGCAGCAACGCCGCGUGAGUGAUGAAGGCCUUCGGGUUGUAAAGCUCUUUGAGUGGGGACGAAGCCCCACGGGACGAAUAAUCCCGUGGUCUGACGGUACCCACAGAACAAGUUCCGGCUAACUACGUGCCAGCAGCCGCGGUAAUACGUAGGGAGCAAGCGUUGUUCGGAAUUAUUGGGCGUAAAGCGCGCGUAGGUGGCUUGUCAGGUCCGAUGUGAAAACCUGGGGCUUAACUCCAGGCCUGCAUUGGAAACCGGCUUGCUAGAGUCUGGGAGAGGAGAGUGGAAUUCCUGGUGUAGCGGUGAAAUGCGUAGAUAUCAGGAGGAACACCGGUAGCGAAGGCGGCUCUCUGGAACAGUACUGACGCUGAGGCGCGAAAGCUAGGGGAGCAAACAGGAUUAGAUACCCUGGUAGUCCUAGCCGUAAACGAUGGACACUAGGUGUCGGGGGUGUCGACUCCCUCGGUGCCGAAGCUAACGCAUUAAGUGUCCCGCCUGGGGAGUACGGCCGCAAGGCUAAAACUUAAAGGAAUUGACGG